Molecule: long non-coding RNA, 323 nt
Filed under: Gallus gallus (chicken)
Lineage: Eukaryota; Metazoa; Chordata; Aves; Galliformes; Phasianidae
Source: RNAcentral
GUUUUCCAAAAUCAUCUCUCACUGUGCUGAAGUCCUUACUGUCAUCAAGGAGAAGAUUCUUCACCCCAAUGAUAUCUCCAUCUUUCAGGUGAUAAGGGGCUGACUGUAAACUCUCCUGUUUUUUCUUCCGUUUUCUCUUCGAAAUUUGCUGGGUCCAGCUAGAUAUUGGCAGCCACUCAUAUUUUUCAGGGAAGUAUUUGGCUAUUUCAAUUUUAUCUACAGGGAGACAAUAGUGAGAAGCCACUCUUUGCCUCAGUGCCCAGGUAGUGCAUUCUUUGGAGAUAUUCCACACCAAAUCCACGGAGUCAUAGUAGUCCCUUUCC